ACUCGUUGGACCCGGGGGCGGUACCCGGCGCCUCCACCAAAAUAUAAUUUCAUCUCUUAUAUUUUGGUGGGGGCGAAAUAGGAUCGACAAGAGCGUAAAGAUUGCUCUUUUACUCGGCAUAGUACCACCGUUAUCGGACUAAAUGAGUAGUUGCAAAUGACAACUAUGCGGAAGUACGUCUCGCCGCUUGAGGUGGUGUGAAUGCUUCAAAUUAAGUCUUAAACCGUCGCAGGUUUAAGCGGGGUUCGAAGG
This 252-nucleotide transfer-messenger RNA is filed under the name Bartonella japonica. Its description in RNAcentral is "partial ssrA". It matches the Rfam family "Alphaproteobacteria transfer-messenger RNA", at positions 81 to 331 of the family's 355-position model. Rfam says of the family: Bacterial tmRNA, also known as 10Sa RNA or SsrA, is named for its dual tRNA and mRNA-like properties. Its role is to liberate the mRNA from a stalled ribosome. Lineage: Bacteria; Pseudomonadati; Pseudomonadota; Alphaproteobacteria; Hyphomicrobiales; Bartonellaceae. The record is from RNAcentral.